Molecule: transfer RNA, 74 nt
Filed under: Pterocladiophila hemisphaerica
Lineage: Eukaryota; Rhodophyta; Florideophyceae; Gracilariales; Pterocladiophilaceae
Description: tRNA-Met
Rfam family: tRNA
About the family: Transfer RNA (tRNA) molecules are approximately 80 nucleotides in length. Their secondary structure includes four short double-helical elements and three loops (D, anti-codon, and T loops).
Source: RNAcentral
UGCGGAAUAGAGCAGAUCGGUAGCUCGUCGGGCUCAUAACCCGAAAGUCAGUGGUUCAAGUCCAUUUUCCGCGA